UUGAAAUUUCCCAUCCUAAACCCACUUGGAUUUUUACUGCCUUUCGUCAUCAUUUGCAAUCUGUUUCAGCCAUACCUUCCAAAAUGCUUUGGUAUUUAGAAAGUCCAUGUUCUCUUGACUUCUAACAAUGUCUGUGUCCAUUCCUGGUUCUGCUUUUACUGCCCCCUGCAGGGUGCUUGAUGGCUCGUGGCUGUGAGCCUAGCUCCAUUAAUGCGACAGCAGUAGUAAUUUAAGUGAGUUAGCUUUGGCACUGAGACAUCCAUAGUUCUUUUGGGACUAAAUAGCUUGCAGUUGCACAAAAGCUAGGGUUAGGGGAUUCAAUGUGUGGUGUGAAAUGUCAUUGACUUGGAUACAUAAAGUUGAUCCCCUGACCUUGUCCUCAUAAGCAAUACAACACAGCCAACUGGCCCAGAGUCAUGAAACAAACUCUUCUCUCAUAUUAAAUAAGAAUGGCUUUUUCUUAAGCUGGUGGUUCUUGAACCAAGUGAUCAGAAUCACUUGGAAGGCUUAUUGUAGCACAUACUGCUGUUGUUGACCCUCAGAUAUCUGAUUCAGUAGGUCUGGGAUGGGGCCUGAGAAUACGCAUCUCUAACAAGUCCCCGGCGAUGCUGACGUUGCUGGUCUGGGGACCACAUGUUGAGAACCAUUGUCCCAAACUAUCAUAGAAAGAAGACAAAUAUCAGAAAACCAUCACACCAAUGGGGGGUUGAAAGUAGGCUGGGAGUAAAAGCCUCCUGGUAGAUGUUUCCUUCUUUGUCAGGAAGCAAGAAUUGAUUAUGAAAUUUGUGUAUCUAAGCCCUCAAGAAACUUUUAAUUUAGAAGACAGAAUAAAGAGAAGAAUUAAGAAAGACUGCAUGGACAAGACAUGUUUGGACCAGAGAUACAGGGGUACAAGCUGGAAAAGGGGAGAAAUGAAUCAGGCUACAGGCCAAGUGUCCAUCACUGAUUCCCAGAGAUGCCCGUUGUGUGGUGGGCACUUCCAUGUGGACUCUCUACAGGGGCACGUGCAUGGGUCCAAGAUAGGCAUCCCUCAGCUCAUGGCCUGUAUUCCAGCUUGUAGACUUUUGCUGAGGACGUCCCCUCACCAGUAACCAGCUCUGGUCCCAAGCUCCUGGCCGCAUUCUUCAGUGUCCACAAACCCACAGAGGCUCCUCAUCCUCAACUGUGGGAUUGCACCUUUUCCUGCUGGUUCCUCCUCUUUGCCCUGGCAUGUCUCCAAAUGUUGUCCUCCCUCUGCUCAAAUAGGCAUGGAGCAGGGGCAGAUCAGAAAGUCCGAUGUCCGACCAUCUUCCAACCAAACAAAAUGCUAGACUAUCAUCAUUGCACG
RNAcentral lists this long non-coding RNA (1327 nucleotides) under Macaca mulatta (Rhesus monkey). Its description in RNAcentral is "lncRNA (ENSMMUG00000059824.1)". The record is from RNAcentral. Lineage: Eukaryota; Metazoa; Chordata; Mammalia; Primates; Cercopithecidae.